This 185-nucleotide non-coding RNA is filed under the name Lederbergia galactosidilytica. The record is from RNAcentral. Lineage: Bacteria; Bacillati; Bacillota; Bacilli; Caryophanales; Bacillaceae.
UUGAUUUCAACAAAUGAAGGCACCCAUAUAGGGUUUAAAUAGGGAAUCCGGUGAAAUUCCGGAGCUGUCCCCGCAACUGUAAAUGCGAACGACCGGAUUAGCCACUGGUUCGAAAUAAUCGAACUGGGAAGGCCCCAUUAGGAUGAUGCAUGAGCCAGGAGACCUCCCUUUUAUUUGUCGGAUUU